UGCCGGUCGUUAAGCCGGAGGAAGGUGGGGAGUGACGUCAAGUCAGCAUGGCCUUUAUGUCCUGGGCUACACACACGCUACAAUGGCCAACACAAUAGGUUGCUAAGCCGCGAGGUGGAGCCAAUCCUCAAAGUUGGUCUCAGUUCAGAUUGCAGGCUGCAACCCGCCUGCAUGAAGAUGGAGUUGCUAGUAACCGCAGGUCAGCUAUACUGCGGUGAAUACGUUCCCGGGGCUU
This 235-nucleotide ribosomal RNA is filed under the name uncultured Leptolinea sp. Its description in RNAcentral is "partial 16S ribosomal RNA". It matches the Rfam family "Bacterial small subunit ribosomal RNA", at positions 1150 to 1382 of the family's 1533-position model. The record is from RNAcentral. Lineage: Bacteria; Bacillati; Chloroflexota; Anaerolineae; Anaerolineales; Anaerolineaceae.